This 68-nucleotide transfer RNA is filed under the name Ctenolepisma longicaudatum (long-tailed silverfish). RNAcentral's name for it is "tRNA-Phe". Lineage: Eukaryota; Metazoa; Arthropoda; Insecta; Zygentoma; Lepismatidae. The record is from RNAcentral.
AUUUGAGUAGCUUAUAAGAGGAAAGUGUAGUCUGAAGGCCGCUAAGAAGGUUUGGUUACCCUCAAAUA